RNAcentral lists this ribosomal RNA (453 nucleotides) under uncultured bacterium. RNAcentral's name for it is "bacterial SSU rRNA". It matches the Rfam family "Bacterial small subunit ribosomal RNA", at positions 340 to 786 of the family's 1533-position model. The record is from RNAcentral.
UACGGAAGGCAGCAGUGGGGAAUAUUGCACAAUGGGCGCAAGCCUGAUGCAGCCAUGCCGCGUGUAUGAAGAAGGCCUUCGGGUUGUAAAGUACUUUCAGUCGUGAGGAAGGUGUUAAGGUUAAUAACCUUAGCAAUUGACGUUAGCGACAGAAGAAGCACCGGCUAACUCCGUGCCAGCAGCCGCGGUAAUACGGAGGGUGCGAGCGUUAAUCGGAAUUACUGGGCGUAAAGGGCACGCAGGCGGUUAAUUAAGUUGGAUGUGAAAUCCCCGGGCUUAACCUGGGAAUGGCAUUCAAGACUGGUUAGCUAGAGUCUUGUAGAGGGGGUAGAGUUCCAUGUGUAGCGGUGAAAUGCGUAGAGAUGUGGAGGAAUACCGGUGGCGAAGGCGGCCCCUGGACAAAGACUGACGCUCAUGUGCGAAAGCGUGGGGAGCAAACAGGGAUUAGAUACC